GCCGACUUAGCUCAGCAGGUAGAGCACAUCCAUGGUAAGGAUGGGGUCUGCGGUCCGAAUCCGCAAGUCGGCUCCA
This 76-nucleotide transfer RNA is filed under the name Synergistes sp. RNAcentral describes it as "tRNA-Thr". The record is from RNAcentral. Lineage: Bacteria; Thermotogati; Synergistota; Synergistia; Synergistales; Synergistaceae.